This 292-nucleotide ribosomal RNA is filed under the name uncultured bacterium. RNAcentral's name for it is "partial 16S ribosomal RNA". The record is from RNAcentral.
GGACUACCCGGGUAUCUAAUCCUGUUUGCUCCCCUUGCUCUCGCGCCUCAGCGUCAGGUAUCAACUAGAAAACCGCUUUCGCCACAGGUGUUCUUCCACAUAUCUACGCAUUUCACCGCUACACGUGGAAUUCCGUUUUCUCCGUCGACCCUCAAGAUAGGUAGUUUCAAAUGCAGCUCCGAAGUUGAGCUUCGGAAUUUCACAUCUGACUGGCCUUCCCGCCUACGCGCCCUUUACGCCCAAUAAUUCCGAUUAAUGCUCGCGCUCUCCGUAUUACCGCGGCUGCUGGCAC